This 1276-nucleotide ribosomal RNA is filed under the name Nuttallina californica. Its description in RNAcentral is "large ribosomal RNA subunit RNA". The stretch from base 653 to 833 matches the Rfam family "Bacterial large subunit ribosomal RNA", at positions 1791 to 2013 of the family's 2925-position model. The record is from RNAcentral. Lineage: Eukaryota; Metazoa; Mollusca; Polyplacophora; Chitonida; Tonicellidae.
GUUUGAGGUUUAGAUUUGUAUUUAUUAAAUUAUUGUAUAAAUAAAAGGAAUUAAUAAUAAAGUAUUGAUUUAAAAAAUAUUAGUUUAAAAGUGAAUGUAAAUAAAAAAGAUAUCGAAAUAAAGGAGAUUUUAAUAAUUGUACCUUUUGUAUCAUGGUUUAACUAGAAAAUUAAAAGUAUUAUUAUUUCUAGAAAUAAAGGGAGCUAUGUCUUAGCUAUAAUUUUUAAUGUGGCAAAAUUAAUAAACAGACUAAGGCAUAGAAAUGAUAAAUUAGUCGGCCUUUAAGAUAGCUAGUUUGAAGAAAAAUACAUUUAAGUGUAGAACAAAAAUGUGAUUAUUUAAGUUAAAAUUUAAUUGACUUACUUUUUGGUUUGAGUUUUAUAGGGUUAAUCUUAUAAAAUAGAAGAAAUAAUUUUAAAGAUAUUUUAAUUGUGGGAUUAGAGGUGUCUAGCAUAUUGAUAGUGUAACAACAAUAGUUGAAAAAAUUUUAUAUUAUGUUUCUUUUUUAUAUCUUUUCUUUAUCUUAAAUUUAUUUUAGAUUGUGUUUAUGUUAGAAUGAGUAUUAUUAUAUAAAUUAAGUGUUUAAAAUUUCUAGAUUUAAAACUUUAAUUUUUUAUGGAUUAUAAAUAUUAAAAAGGAACUCGGCAAAAUGUUAUCUCGCCUGUUUAACAAAAACAUCGCUCUUUGGGUUAAAUUUUAUGAAGAGUCUCGCCUGCCCAAUGAAAAAGAAUUAGGAGGCUAUUUUAAUGGCCGCAGUAUUUUGACUGUGCUAAGGUAGCGUAAUUCAACGUCUUUUAAUUAAAGGCCCAGUAUGAAUGGCUAAACGAGGAUAAAGCUGUCUCUUUAAUAUUAUAUAAAAAUUAUCUUUGAAGUUAAAAGACUUCAAUAUCUUUAAAAGACGAAAAGACCCUAUAGAGUUUAUAAAUUAAGUUCAAUUUUGUUUUGUAGAAUAUAAUAUAAUUGAAUAAAAUUUUUUGUUGGGGCAAUAAAGGAGUCAAUAAAAACUCUUUUUAUUAAUUAUAAAUUGAUGGAUUUUUUGAUCUAAUAUAUGAAUUAAAAGAAAAAGUUACCUUAGGGAUAACAGCGUAAUUUUUCUGGAGAGUACUAAUUGAAGGAAAAGAUUGCGACCUCGAUGUUGGAUUGGAGAUACUUUUAAGUGCAGUAGUUUAAAAUGGCGGUUCGACCGAUGAGAAUCAGGUCAGUUUCUAUCUUUAAAGAAGUGAGGGAUUAUAUUUCUAGUACGAAAGGACCGAUUGUAAUAAAUAGUUUAUUGUAA